RNAcentral lists this ribosomal RNA (620 nucleotides) under Parasaissetia nigra. RNAcentral's name for it is "eukaryotic LSU rRNA". The stretch from base 280 to 620 matches the Rfam family "Eukaryotic large subunit ribosomal RNA", at positions 665 to 849 of the family's 3401-position model. The record is from RNAcentral. Lineage: Eukaryota; Metazoa; Arthropoda; Insecta; Hemiptera; Coccidae.
CGAUAUUUCCGCCGCCGACCCUCAACCGAGGGUGUCGGACGUCGCGACCCGUUCGCCCAGGUCGAUACUCAGGGACGCGUUUCAAGUUCGCCGGCGCGGUCGUCUCGGCGGCCGCGUCACGAUGGCGCGUUUCCGCUGUUCUCGACGCGGACGGUAGCUUUGCGCGCGGGUAAUCGACGCGGUCCUUUGUCCGGCGUCUCCGUACGUCGGACGGCGCUCGCGUCGACGCCGGUCAGCGACGAAUCUUCGGGCCUCUUUCCGACCCGUCUUGAAACACGGACCAAGGAGUCUAGCGUGCGCGCGAGUCGCGGGGUAUCCGAGUCGUCGUAGUCGUUUCGGCGGCGAACGCGACUCGUCACGAUACGAAACCCGUGUACGUACGUUGUGCGAAGGCGUAAUGAAAGUGAAAGGCGACGCUUCGCGCGUCGCCGGGGGAAGACGGUGUUCCGUGUACCACGUUUCGCGGUCAUACGUGUACCGCGGCCGGACACCCGCAUUCCCAGGGCGUCCCGCUCGUACGUCGGCCGUCGGGUCUCGGCUCGGCGGUCGGCGAACUGGGGCGCACCUACAGCGUGCACGCUGGUACCCGAAAGAUGGUGAACUAUGCCCGGCCAGGAUGA